AUACUUACCUGGCAGGUGAGAUACCAUGAUCACGAAGGUAGUUCUCCCAGGGCGAGGCUUAUCCAUUACAUUCCAGAUGUGCUGACCCCUGCAAUUUCCCCAAAUGUGGGAAACUCAACUGCAUAAUUUGUGGUAGUGGGGGACUGUGUUCUCACACUCCCCUA
RNAcentral lists this small nuclear RNA (164 nucleotides) under Erinaceus europaeus (western European hedgehog). RNAcentral's name for it is "U1 spliceosomal RNA (ENSEEUG00000017908.1)". It matches the Rfam family "U1 spliceosomal RNA". From Rfam's summary of the family: U1 is a small nuclear RNA (snRNA) component of the spliceosome (involved in pre-mRNA splicing). Its 5' end forms complementary base pairs with the 5' splice junction, thus defining the 5' donor site of an intron. Lineage: Eukaryota; Metazoa; Chordata; Mammalia; Eulipotyphla; Erinaceidae. The record is from Rfam by way of RNAcentral.